CCCUUAGAUGUUCUGGGCCGCACGCGCGCUACACUGAUGCAUUCAACGAGCCUAGCCCUGACCGAGAGGUCCGGGUAAUCUUUGAAACUGCAUCGUGAUGGGGCUAGAUUAUUGCAAUUAUUAAUCUUCAACGAGGAAUGCCUAGUAAGCGUGAUUCAUCAAAUCGCGUUGAUUACGUCCCUGCCCUUUGUACACACCGCCCGUCGCUCCUACCGAUUGAGUGUGUUGGUGAGGAGUUCGGAUUGGCUCUUAGUGGUGGUUCGCCACCACCUAGAGCUGAGAAGUUCUCCAAACCGCCCCACUUAGAGGAAGGAGAAGUCGUAACA
Molecule: ribosomal RNA, 326 nt
Filed under: uncultured eukaryote
Lineage: Eukaryota
Description: partial 18S ribosomal RNA
Rfam family: Eukaryotic small subunit ribosomal RNA
Source: RNAcentral